Molecule: ribosomal RNA, 2930 nt
Filed under: Escherichia coli
Lineage: Bacteria; Pseudomonadati; Pseudomonadota; Gammaproteobacteria; Enterobacterales; Enterobacteriaceae
Description: 23S ribosomal RNA
Rfam family: Bacterial large subunit ribosomal RNA
Source: RNAcentral
GGGUUGUGAGGUUAAGCGACUAAGCGUACACGGUGGAUGCCCUGGCAGUCAGAGGCGAUGAAGGACGUGCUAAUCUGCGAUAAGCGUCGGUAAGGUGAUAUGAACCGUUAUAACCGGCGAUUUCCGAAUGGGGAAACCCAGUGUGAUUCGUCACACUAUCAUUAACUGAAUCCAUAGGUUAAUGAGGCGAACCGGGGGAACUGAAACAUCUAAGUACCCCGAGGAAAAGAAAUCAACCGAGAUUCCCCCAGUAGCGGCGAGCGAACGGGGAGCAGCCCAGAGCCUGAAUCAGUGUGUGUGUUAGUGGAAGCGUCUGGAAAGGCGCGCGAUACAGGGUGACAGCCCCGUACACAAAAAUGCACAUGCUGUGAGCUCGAUGAGUAGGGCGGGACACGUGGUAUCCUGUCUGAAUAUGGGGGGACCAUCCUCCAAGGCUAAAUACUCCUGACUGACCGAUAGUGAACCAGUACCGUGAGGGAAAGGCGAAAAGAACCCCGGCGAGGGGAGUGAAAAAGAACCUGAAACCGUGUACGUACAAGCAGUGGGAGCACGCUUAGGCGUGUGACUGCGUACCUUUUGUAUAAUGGGUCAGCGACUUAUAUUCUGUAGCAAGGUUAACCGAAUAGGGGAGCCGAAGGGAAACCGAGUCUUAACUGGGCGUUAAGUUGCAGGGUAUAGACCCGAAACCCGGUGAUCUAGCCAUGGGCAGGUUGAAGGUUGGGUAACACUAACUGGAGGACCGAACCGACUAAUGUUGAAAAAUUAGCGGAUGACUUGUGGCUGGGGGUGAAAGGCCAAUCAAACCGGGAGAUAGCUGGUUCUCCCCGAAAGCUAUUUAGGUAGCGCCUCGUGAAUUCAUCUCCGGGGGUAGAGCACUGUUUCGGCAAGGGGGUCAUCCCGACUUACCAACCCGAUGCAAACUGCGAAUACCGGAGAAUGUUAUCACGGGAGACACACGGCGGGUGCUAACGUCCGUCGUGAAGAGGGAAACAACCCAGACCGCCAGCUAAGGUCCCAAAGUCAUGGUUAAGUGGGAAACGAUGUGGGAAGGCCCAGACAGCCAGGAUGUUGGCUUAGAAGCAGCCAUCAUUUAAAGAAAGCGUAAUAGCUCACUGGUCGAGUCGGCCUGCGCGGAAGAUGUAACGGGGCUAAACCAUGCACCGAAGCUGCGGCAGCGACGCUGAUGCGUUGUUGGGUAGGGGAGCGUUCUGUAAGCCUGUGAAGGUGUGCUGUGAGGCAUGCUGGAGGUAUCAGAAGUGCGAAUGCUGACAUAAGUAACGAUAAAGCGGGUGAAAAGCCCGCUCGCCGGAAGACCAAGGGUUCCUGUCCAACGUUAAUCGGGGCAGGGUGAGUCGACCCCUAAGGCGAGGCCGAAAGGCGUAGUCGAUGGGAAACAGGUUAAUAUUCCUGUACUUGGUGUUACUGCGAAGGGGGGACGGAGAAGGCUAUGUUGGCCGGGCGACGGUUGUCCCGGUUUAAGCGUGUAGGCUGGUUUUCCAGGCAAAUCCGGAAAAUCAAGGCUGAGGCGUGAUGACGAGGCACUACGGUGCUGAAGCAACAAAUGCCCUGCUUCCAGGAAAAGCCUCUAAGCAUCAGGUAACAUCAAAUCGUACCCCAAACCGACACAGGUGGUCAGGUAGAGAAUACCAAGGCGCUUGAGAGAACUCGGGUGAAGGAACUAGGCAAAAUGGUGCCGUAACUUCGGGAGAAGGCACGCUGAUAUGUAGGUGAAGUCCCUCGCGGAUGGAGCUGAAAUCAGUCGAAGAUACCAGCUGGCUGCAACUGUUUAUUAAAAACACAGCACUGUGCAAACACGAAAGUGGACGUAUACGGUGUGACGCCUGCCCGGUGCCGGAAGGUUAAUUGAUGGGGUUAGCGCAAGCGAAGCUCUUGAUCGAAGCCCCGGUAAACGGCGGCCGUAACUAUAACGGUCCUAAGGUAGCGAAAUUCCUUGUCGGGUAAGUUCCGACCUGCACGAAUGGCGUAAUGAUGGCCAGGCUGUCUCCACCCGAGACUCAGUGAAAUUGAACUCGCUGUGAAGAUGCAGUGUACCCGCGGCAAGACGGAAAGACCCCGUGAACCUUUACUAUAGCUUGACACUGAACAUUGAGCCUUGAUGUGUAGGAUAGGUGGGAGGCUUUGAAGUGUGGACGCCAGUCUGCAUGGAGCCGACCUUGAAAUACCACCCUUUAAUGUUUGAUGUUCUAACGUUGACCCGUAAUCCGGGUUGCGGACAGUGUCUGGUGGGUAGUUUGACUGGGGCGGUCUCCUCCUAAAGAGUAACGGAGGAGCACGAAGGUUGGCUAAUCCUGGUCGGACAUCAGGAGGUUAGUGCAAUGGCAUAAGCCAGCUUGACUGCGAGCGUGACGGCGCGAGCAGGUGCGAAAGCAGGUCAUAGUGAUCCGGUGGUUCUGAAUGGAAGGGCCAUCGCUCAACGGAUAAAAGGUACUCCGGGGAUAACAGGCUGAUACCGCCCAAGAGUUCAUAUCGACGGCGGUGUUUGGCACCUCGAUGUCGGCUCAUCACAUCCUGGGGCUGAAGUAGGUCCCAAGGGUAUGGCUGUUCGCCAUUUAAAGUGGUACGCGAGCUGGGUUUAGAACGUCGUGAGACAGUUCGGUCCCUAUCUGCCGUGGGCGCUGGAGAACUGAGGGGGGCUGCUCCUAGUACGAGAGGACCGGAGUGGACGCAUCACUGGUGUUCGGGUUGUCAUGCCAAUGGCACUGCCCGGUAGCUAAAUGCGGAAGAGAUAAGUGCUGAAAGCAUCUAAGCACGAAACUUGCCCCGAGAUGAGUUCUCCCUGACUCCUUGAGAGUCCUGAAGGAACGUUGAAGACGACGACGUUGAUAGGCCGGGUGUGUAAGCGCAGCGAUGCGUUGAGCUAACCGGUACUAAUGAACCGUGAGGCUUAACCUUACAACGCCGAAGCUGUU